Molecule: ribosomal RNA, 583 nt
Filed under: uncultured Tistrella sp.
Lineage: Bacteria; Pseudomonadati; Pseudomonadota; Alphaproteobacteria; Geminicoccales; Geminicoccaceae
Description: bacterial SSU rRNA
Rfam family: Bacterial small subunit ribosomal RNA
Source: RNAcentral
GGUCGACGAUUCCUACGGGAGGCAGCAGUGGGGAAUAUUCGGACAAUGGGCGAAAGCCUGAUCCAGCAAUGCCGCGUGGGUGAUGAAGGUCUUCGGAUUGUAAAGCUCUUUCGACGGGGAAGAUAAUGACGGUACCCGUAGAAGAAGCGCCGGCUAACUUCGUGCCAGCAGCCGCGGUAAUACGAAGGGGGCUAGCGUUGUUCGGAUUUACUGGGCGUAAAGCGUGCGUAGGCGGCUUAUCAAGUCAGAAGUGAAAGCCCGGGGCUCAACUCCGGAACUGCUUUUGAGACUGGUAGGCUGGAGUUCGGGAGAGGGUAGUGGAAUUCCCAGUGUAGAGGUGAAAUUCGUAGAUAUUGGGAAGAACACCGGUGGCGAAGGCGGCUGCCUGGCCCGAAACUGACGCUGAGGCACGAAAGCGUGGGGAGCAAACAGGAUUAGAUACCCUGGUAGUCCACGCCGUAAACGAUGAGUGCUGGACGUUGGGAUACUUAGUAUCGCAGUGUCGUAGCUAACGCGUUAAGCACUCCGCCUGGGGAGUACGGCCGCAAGGUUAAAACUCAAAGGAAUUGACGGAAUCUCUAGA